This is a long non-coding RNA of Mustela erminea (ermine), 515 nucleotides long. RefSeq lists it as uncharacterized. Lineage: Eukaryota; Metazoa; Chordata; Mammalia; Carnivora; Mustelidae. The record is from RefSeq and is a predicted model, not a curated record. The transcript has 2 exons.
AAUUGGAAACAUUGGUUAUAUUACUGAGACUUUCACUGCGAUGUCAUAUUUGAGAAUAAAAUACAUCAAUUCAGAUAUGAUCAAACAGCUUUAAGGAACUAAUGCUGACUUUAUAGAGCCAAUAAUGGCCCUUGGAAAAAAUGGCCUGGUACCCUGCUUAUGGGGUUUCCAGCAAUUUUACCAGCCAGGUGAACAAGCUAGAGCUGGACAACUUGAUAAAACUUCAAAGAAAUCACCACAAUAGCUCAUGUAUGGACAACCUUAAUGCCUCCGUGUCACAGAAGGAUCACCAGAGACAUUCAAACUGCCAACCAGAAAAAUCUAGCAGGUUGCUGCUGCCCUUCCUUACUCCGUCUGAAGAGGUUAGGAGCCAGAUAUCUAGAAAUCUCAACAGGCUGCCUUUAGAACUCAGAAACUGGGAGUGUAAUCUUCUCCAGUCAUUAACUGUUGUUUUUCUUUUGUUUCCAUAGAAAUGCUUCUUAUUAAAUAUCUAAUUGCUUGCACCAUGGAACUAA